AUUGAACGCUGGCGGAAUGCUUUACACAUGCAAGUCGAGCGGCAGCACGGGGGCAACCCUGGUGGCGAGCGGCGAACGGGUGAGUAAUACAUCGGAACAUGCCCAGUCGUGGGGGAUAACACUUCGAAAGAAGUGCUAAUACCGCAUACGUCCUGAGGGAGAAAGCGGGGGAUCGCAAGACCUCGCGCGAUUGGAGUGGCCGAUGUCAGAUUAGCUAGUUGGUGGGGUAAAGGCCUACCAAGGCAACGAUCUGUAGCUGGUCUGAGAGGAUGAUCAGCCAAACUGGGAAUGAGACCCGGCCCCGGCUCCUAAGGGAGGGCGGAGUGGGGAAUUUUGGAAAAUGGGGGCAACCCUGAUCCAACCAUUCCGGGUGAGUGAAGAAGGCCUUCGGGUUGUAAAGCUCUUUUGGCAGGAACGAAACGGCGAGGCCUAACAUAGCUUGCUAAUGACGGUACCUGAAGAAGAAGCACCGGCUAACUACGUG
Molecule: ribosomal RNA, 484 nt
Filed under: uncultured bacterium
Lineage: Bacteria
Description: partial 16S ribosomal RNA
Rfam family: Bacterial small subunit ribosomal RNA
Source: RNAcentral